GAGUUUGAUCCUGGCUCAGAACGAACGCUGGCGGCGUGGCUAAGACAUGCAAGUCGAACGGACUGGUCAAUUUAUUGAGCAGUUAGUGGCGAAAGGGUUAGUAAUGAAUAGGUAACGUACCCUGUGCUCCGGGAUAGCGUCAUUCGCCUUCGGGCGAAUUUCCGAAAGGGGCAGUAAUACCGGAUAAUAUCAUGUGUCGAUAGGCACAUGUUCAAAGAUUUAUCGGCGCAGGAGCGGCCUAUUUCCUAUCAGCUUGUUGGUGAGGUAAAGGCCCACCAAGGCAAUGACGGGUAGCGGGACUGAGAGGUUGGCCCGCAACAUCGGGACUGAGACACUGCCCGGACCUCCACGGAGGGCUGCAGUAACGAAUCUUGCGCAAUGGGCGAAAGCCUGACGCAGCGACGCCGCGUGCGGGAAGAAGUCCUUCGGGAUGUAAACCGCUGUCAGGGGUAAGAAAGUCCACUUCGGUGGAUUGAUCUAACCCAAAGGAAGUCACGGCUAACUUCGUGCCAGCAGCCGCGGUAAGACGAAGGUGGCAAGCGUUGUUCGGUAUCACUGGGCUUAAAGCGUGUGUAGGCGGAAAAGUAAGCGUCGCGUGAAAGCCCCCGGCUUAACCGGGGAACUGCUCGACGAACUGCUUUUCUUGAGGCAAGUAGGGGUGCACGGAACUCUUGGUGGAGCGGUGGAAUGCGUAGAUAUCAAGAGGAACGCCGGUGGAGAAAUCGGUGCACUGGGCUUGUUCUGACGCUGAGACACGAAAGCGUGGGGAGCAAACGGGAUUAGAUACCCCGGUAGUCCACGCCGUAAACGAUGUCUACUAGGUUGUGGUGGUUCUGACACCAGCACGGCCGAAGCAAAAGUGAUUAGUAGACCGCCUGGGGAGUACGGUCGCAAGGCUAAAACUCAAAGGAAUUGACGGGGGCUCACACAAGCGGUGGAGCAUGUGGAUCAAUUCGAAGCAACGCGCAGAACCUUACCUGGGUUUGACAUGCUUGGAUGCUUGCCGAGAAACCGGUUAAGCUGCCCUUCGGGGUGAAACUUGCACAGGUGCUGCAUGGCUGUCGUCAGCUCGUGUCGUGAGAUGUCGGGUUA
This 1092-nucleotide ribosomal RNA is filed under the name uncultured bacterium. Its description in RNAcentral is "bacterial SSU rRNA". It matches the Rfam family "Bacterial small subunit ribosomal RNA", at positions 9 to 1082 of the family's 1533-position model. The record is from RNAcentral.